UGGUGAACAAUGAGAGAUUCCUACUA
Molecule: non-coding RNA, 26 nt
Filed under: Homo sapiens (human)
Lineage: Eukaryota; Metazoa; Chordata; Mammalia; Primates; Hominidae
Source: RNAcentral